Long non-coding RNA from Eriocheir sinensis (Chinese mitten crab), 662 nucleotides. RefSeq lists it as uncharacterized. The transcript has 3 exons. Lineage: Eukaryota; Metazoa; Arthropoda; Malacostraca; Decapoda; Varunidae. The record is from RefSeq and is a predicted model, not a curated record.
GCCGGGAGAUGACUUCAAGGGAGUUAGUCUUGAAGUGACACAAGGGCUAAUCUCUGCACAAGGUCUUCAAAAAGCCUGGUUUGGCCUAAACGAGUGUUACAGCGACAACAAGUGGAUCAAAUUGAAGGUGGAUGUGGAAGCAACGAAUAUAUUGAACCAAUUUCUGCAUUUCACCCUAAACAUUGAAGGAUACAGAGGAAGAUGCACAAGGCAACGAUUAUGGUACAAAUACAUCACUGGCUUUAGUAUUGUGGCUCACGGCUCUUCCAGCUGGACAAGCACAGCCCAAGAAACGGGCGGCAGAUGUCACGGUCCGGAAGAAUUCACGAACCUGCAGUACCCACCCACCUGCACGGAUCCGCCCGACCCUAUCACCACCACCACCACAUCAACACCACCUCCAGGUACCACCACCACCACUACCGCAACAACAAAAACAGCACCUCCAGGUACCACCACCACGACCACCACCACCACCACAUCAACACCACCACCUCCAGUGGUGAUAGCGGUGCCGAUAGCGGUGCCGAUAGCGGUGGUGGUGGCGGUGAUCCUGGCCAUUGUGGUGUGUGUGACCUAUCGGAGGCGGCGGCGUGGACAGGGAGAGGGGCAGCUGCCCCGCGUCGGCGGCGAGGUAGACGUCGACGACAACUACAUGGACG